Molecule: unclassified non-coding RNA, 329 nt
Filed under: soil metagenome
Description: partial contains 5.8S ribosomal RNA, internal transcribed spacer 2, and large subunit ribosomal RNA
Rfam family: 5.8S ribosomal RNA (bases 1-120)
Source: RNAcentral
GAUGAAGAACGUAGCGAAAUGCGAUAAGUAAUGUGAAUUGCAGAAUUCAGUGAAUCAUCGAAUCUUUGAACGCACAUUGCGCCCCCUGGUAUUCCGGGGGGCAUGCCUGUCCGAGCGUCAUUACAACCCUCAAGCUCAGCUUGGUGUUGGGCCCCGCCGCCCCGGCGGGCCCUAAAGUCAGUGGCGGUGCCUUCCGGCUCCGAGCGUAGUAAUUCUUCUCGCUCUGGAGGUCCGGUCGUGUGCUUGCCAGCAACCCCCAAUUUUUUUCAGGUUGACCUCGGAUCAGGUAGGGAUACCCGCUGAACUUAAGCAUAUCAAUAAGCGGAGGA